This 253-nucleotide ribosomal RNA is filed under the name uncultured bacterium. RNAcentral describes it as "partial 16S ribosomal RNA". It matches the Rfam family "Bacterial small subunit ribosomal RNA", at positions 524 to 776 of the family's 1533-position model. The record is from RNAcentral.
UACGUAGGGUGCAAGCGUUAUCCGGAUUCACUGGGUUUAAAGGGUGCGUAGGUGGGUUGGUAAGUCAGUGGUGAAAUCCCCGAGCUUAACUUGGGAACUGCCAUUGAUACUAUCAGUCUUGAAUACCGUGGAGGUCAGCGGAAUAUGUCAUGUAGCGGUGAAAUGCUUAGAUAUGACAUAGAACACCAAUGGCGAAGGCAGCUGGCUACACGAAUAUUGACACUCAGGCACGAAAGCGUGGGGAUCAAACAGG